AUCCAUCUGUCAAGUCCCAAACAGGACGAAACGCGCGUCAAACUGGAU
This 48-nucleotide non-coding RNA is filed under the name Schistosoma mattheei. The record is from RNAcentral. Lineage: Eukaryota; Metazoa; Platyhelminthes; Trematoda; Strigeidida; Schistosomatidae.